CCCCAACGACCUGCGGGGGGGCGGGGGGGAUCUGGGGCGCGCCGCCGAGCUGAAUGAUUUCCAGCCUCGACUCAAUAAGAGGAGAAUUUAGAGCGGUCCCCGAGCUGGGCUCCCAGAAACAGCCUUACACGUUUAUUUUCCUUAGCUGAACAGAAUUGAGGAAGGAGGAACCAGUCUCUGAGCUGUGCGACCCCCAAGCUGCUGGCUUCUCCGACCUCAACUGUGUUAUGGAGCCGCCAGGGGGCGGCGCGACCCUGUUGGUCGCCAAGGGGAUCUCCGUGCUUCCUCGUCGAGGCUGCGACCUGUCGCUUCCAAUGCCUGGUCCUUGCAUGGCCAACGACCUCUACCCUCUCCCAGAGGCCUUAAGCUUGUAACCUGUCCCCUCCUGGACUGUGAAAAGAACAUAUAGCCCGACCUCCCUGCCAACAAGCUGUACCAUCGGGAAGAGGAGAGCCCAACGGUAGAAGCUCAUCAAUGAUUCCCAGCCUCUGUUUCCAUCAGAAUUGCUUGAUGAAGCUCCUUUAACACAAAUAGAUUUACUCACAUUCCUUAACUGUAAAAGGUGUGCAUGUGCCAGCAGGGGUUCUGGAAUCAUGUACCUUUGUCAGAGCUCCCCCAUUUAAUUCUGAUACAAUUCCACGUGGGUAUUA
RNAcentral lists this long non-coding RNA (650 nucleotides) under Mus spicilegus (steppe mouse). RNAcentral's name for it is "lncRNA (ENSMSIG00000012766.1)". The record is from RNAcentral. Lineage: Eukaryota; Metazoa; Chordata; Mammalia; Rodentia; Muridae.